AUUGAACGCUGGCGGCAGGCCUAACACAUGCAAGUCGAGCGGAUGAAGGGAGCUUGCUCCUGGAUUCAGCGGCGGACGGGUGAGUAAUGCCUAGGAAUCUGCCUGGUAGUGGGGGAUAACGUCCGGAAACGGGCGCUAAUACCGCAUACUUCCUGAGGGAGAAAGUGGGGGAUCUUCGGACCUCACGCUAUCAGAUGAGCCUAGGUCGGAUUAGCUAGUUGGUGGGGUAAAGGCCUACCAAGGCGACGAUCCGUAACUGGUCUGAGAGGAUGAUCAGUCACACUGGAACUGAGACACGGUCCAGACUCCUACGGGAGGCAGCAGUGGGGAAUAUUGGACAAUGGGCGAAAGCCUUAUCCAGCCAUGCCGCGUGUGUUAAGAAGGUCUUCGGAUUGUAAAGCACUUUAAGUUGGGAGGAAGGGCAGUAAGUUAAUACCUUGCUGUUUUGACGUUACCAACAGAAUAAGCACCGGCUAACUUCGUG
Molecule: ribosomal RNA, 484 nt
Filed under: uncultured bacterium
Lineage: Bacteria
Description: partial 16S ribosomal RNA
Rfam family: Bacterial small subunit ribosomal RNA
Source: RNAcentral